GACGAACGCUGGCGGCGUGCUUAACACAUGCAAGUCGAACGGUGAAGCGCUUGCCUUUUUGGUGGGUGUGGAUGAGUGGCGAACGGGUGAGUAACACGUGAGUAACCUGCCCUCUUCUUCUGGAUAACCUCAUGAAAGUGGGGCUAAUACGGGGUAUUCCGGGUCUGUCGCAUGGCGGGUUUGGGAAAGAUUGCGCCUUUGGGUGUUUUCGGUGGGGGAUGGGCUCGCGGCCUAUCAGCUUGUUGGUGGGGUGAUGGCCUACCAAGGCGGUGACGGGUAGCCGGCCUGAGAGGGUGGACGGCCACACUGGGACUGAGACACGGCCCAGACUCCUGCGGGAGGCAGCAGUGGGGAAUAUUGCACAAUGGGCGCAAGCCUGAUGCAGCGACGCCGCGUGAGGGAUGGAGGCCGUCGGGUUGUGAACCUCUUUCGCCAGUGAAGAAGGCCUGCUCCUGUGUGGGUGGGUUGACGGUAGCUGGAUAAGAAGCGCCGGCUAACUACGUG
This 504-nucleotide ribosomal RNA is filed under the name uncultured bacterium. RNAcentral describes it as "partial 16S ribosomal RNA". It matches the Rfam family "Bacterial small subunit ribosomal RNA", at positions 28 to 507 of the family's 1533-position model. The record is from RNAcentral.